UACGUAGGUGGCGAGCGUUAUCCGGAAUGAUUGGGCGUAAAGAGCGCGCAGGUGGUUAAUUAAGUCUGAUGUGAAAGCCCACGGCUUAACCGUGGAGGGUCAUUGGAAACUGGUUGACUUGAGUGCAGAAGAGGGAAGUGGAAUUCCAUGUGUAGCGGUGAAAUGCGUAGAGAUAUGGAGGAACACCAGUGGCGAAGGCGGCUUCCUGGUCUGCAACUGACACUGAGGCGCGAAAGCGUGGGGAGCAAACAGG
Molecule: ribosomal RNA, 253 nt
Filed under: uncultured bacterium
Lineage: Bacteria
Description: partial 16S ribosomal RNA
Rfam family: Bacterial small subunit ribosomal RNA
Source: RNAcentral